This 102-nucleotide ribosomal RNA is filed under the name Aloe vera (aloe-vera). RNAcentral describes it as "partial 18S ribosomal RNA". The record is from RNAcentral. Lineage: Eukaryota; Viridiplantae; Streptophyta; Magnoliopsida; Asparagales; Asphodelaceae.
AUGGCGUCGCGCCGNAGCGAUGCUCGGGCGCUCAUUGUAAAGAGAUCGAUGNUUCGCGGUUGUCCUUUCGGGUCUCGACAAUGAUCCUUUCCGUAGGUGAAC